AACGAACGCUGGCGGCAUGCCUAACACAUGCAAGUCGAACGAAGUCUUCGGACUUAGUGGCGCACGGGUGCGUAACGCGUGGGAAUCUGCCCUUGGGUGCGGAAUAACUUCUCGAAAGGGAUGCUAAUACCGCAUAAUGUCGUAAGACCAAAGAUUUAUCGCCCAAGGAUGAGCCCGCGUAAGAUUAGCUAGUUGGUGGGGUAAAAGCCUACCAAGGCGACGAUCUUUAACUGGUCUGAGAGGAUGAUCAGUCACACUGGAACUGAGACACGGUCCAGACUCCUACGGGAGGCAGCAGUGAGGAAUAUUGCACAAUGGGCGAAAGCCUGAUGCAGCGACGCCGCGUGGAGGAUGAAGGAUUUCGGUCUGUAAACUCCUGUCAGUAGGGAAGAGAAUGGACGGUACCUACUGAGGAAGCUUCGGCUAACUACGUG
Molecule: ribosomal RNA, 434 nt
Filed under: uncultured bacterium
Lineage: Bacteria
Description: bacterial SSU rRNA
Rfam family: Bacterial small subunit ribosomal RNA
Source: RNAcentral